GAAUCUGUUUCUUUCUAUGGUGUAAGUCUUCUGCCUAUAAUCUUAUUUCUGUGCUUUAUAAUAGCUAAUAAAAAUUUAUGUAUUGCACAAGAAUUUCAUUUUCACAAGUGAAUUACUUCUAAAUUAAUGGCAAGAUUCCUAAUUCUCAGCCAAUUAAUUCUAGGGUGGCAACUUUUUAGGAAUAUUGGUCUUGCACCUUUCUAAUUAAUGAACUUUCAGGACAGAUUAACUUCUUAGGAAAAUGGCUUUACUUGAAGUUGUUGCUUGUAGCCAGUGGUUGGAUACAUACCCCUUAGCAUAAGCAAUUGUGAUCUGGGCUUUCCCCAACCCAUAAAAUUCAAAGGAAAAAUAAUAUGCAAUUACUUGAAGUUUGUGACCCAAACAGUACUUGAGCAGAAUAGACUUGCUGUAAUUACAUUGCAUAAAAUAUUUAGAAAACAUAAUAUGCACAUACAGGGAAUAAUAAUAAGGAUUUUUUCAUUUUUAGUUUUACAAUUUGUAAUAGUUAUUGCUUUGAAACAACAGGUAUUUGAUGGGCAUGGGGGAAAG
RNAcentral lists this unclassified non-coding RNA (549 nucleotides) under Hevea brasiliensis (rubber tree). Lineage: Eukaryota; Viridiplantae; Streptophyta; Magnoliopsida; Malpighiales; Euphorbiaceae. The record is from RNAcentral.